GAUUUCUGGGUGACUGUGCUAGCCCGCUCCUUUCCGGGAGUGUGUGCCGGCAUACGUCAUUCAUCCUUCUAGAAAGCCUUGCCUGCCGUUCAUUCGGCCGGGCAUGUGCGGUCUAGAUCUUUUACUUUGAAUAAAUUAGAGUGUUUAAAGCAGGCUUACGCUAUGAAUACACUAGCAUGGAAUAAUAAUAUAGGACUUUGGUUCUAUUUUGUUGGUUUCUAGGACUGAAGUAAUGAUUGAUAGGGAUAGUUGGGGGUGCUAGUAUUGGCCGGUCAGAGGUGAAAUUCUUGGAUUCGGUCAAGACUAACUUAUGCGAAAGCAUU
Molecule: ribosomal RNA, 323 nt
Filed under: Ebriida sp.
Lineage: Eukaryota; Cercozoa; Thecofilosea
Description: SSU rRNA
Rfam family: Eukaryotic small subunit ribosomal RNA (bases 103-323)
Source: RNAcentral